Molecule: ribosomal RNA, 468 nt
Filed under: uncultured bacterium
Lineage: Bacteria
Description: partial 16S ribosomal RNA
Rfam family: Bacterial small subunit ribosomal RNA
Source: RNAcentral
GACGAACGCUGGCGGCGUGCUUAACACAUGCAAGUCGAACGGAAAGGCCCUGCUUUUGUUGGGGGCUCGAGUCGCGAACGUGUGAGUAACACGUGAAUAACCUGCCCUUGACUUUGGCAUAACUUCAGGACACUGGGUCUAAUCCCGUAUAGGAGCUCCUGCUGCAUUGUGUGGGUUGGAAAGUUUCGGGGGUUGGGGAUGGACUCGCGGCUAAUCAGCUUGUUGGUCGGGUAGUGGCUUACCAAGGCAUUGACGGGUAGCCUGCCUGAGAAGGGGAACGGGGACAUUGGGACUGAGAUACGGCGCAGAGUCCUACGGGGGGCAACAGUGGGGAAUAUGGCGCAGUGGCGCGAAGCCUGAUGCGGCAGCGUUGGGGUCGGGAACACGUCCUUCGGGUUAUAAACGGCUUUCGCCUGAGACGCAGCCGGAGUGACGGUAAUGGGAAAAGAAGCCCCGGCUAACUACGUG